RNAcentral lists this long non-coding RNA (1027 nucleotides) under Nicotiana tabacum (common tobacco). RNAcentral's name for it is "long non-coding RNA (NTAB_LNC007469)". The record is from RNAcentral. Lineage: Eukaryota; Viridiplantae; Streptophyta; Magnoliopsida; Solanales; Solanaceae.
ACCCGUCUGUCUGUCUGAAAUUGCACGCAUGAAAUGCAGCGCCCCCCAGAAAAGGGACAUCAGUACAAAAUAAUGUACCGAGUAUGUAAGGCACUAUACUGAAAGCUAAAACUGAACUGAUAAUAUAAUAACUGAAAGUAACUGAAAGUCAAUGAUAAUCUGAAGAUAUGCUUACUUGCUGAUACUGACUCAACUCUCUCAAUAUAGUAAGUAAAAUAGUUGUCCGGUCUUAUAAGGCUCGCUAUAUAUAUAACUGCUCUGCCAUAGUAGGCUCACUCAUAGACACUCGACCAUACUAGGCUCUGUAUCUCGGCCAACUGGGCUGGUUCAUAGGCGCUCGGCCACAAUAGGGGCAUGCCCAUCGAUUAUAUCUCGAUGGUAAUAAAAAUACUAUAAUAUUAUAUAUAUAGACUCUCUUCUCUCUUGACUGGAAAAAAAAAAUGCUCAAUUGAAUAUGAAGUCUCGAUAAGGAGAAUAUUGUAACUUACAAGCCUAGAAAAAUAUACGUAGUUUCCGAAAUAUGAAUUUUUCUUUAUGCCUCGUUAUCAAACUCGUGUAAUUACGAGAUCAUGUUAAAAUGAAGGAAGGGCUUAGCCUUAACAUACCUUAGCCGAUUCUCUUGACAAUCCCUCUAACACACGUUGAAUGUAACAACACGUAAUGGCGGAUCGAAGUAGGGAAAUAUUCAUAUGAUAUUCUUGGAAAAGGUUGCACCGUACUCCUUUAGAAUCACAAAAUCUCACGUUGCUAAUGUGCUAAAAAAAUCUCUUUGGUUGAAAAAAUCACGUAGGAAUUUGUAGUGUAAGAAAUCACGUAGGAAUUUGGUUGUGGUGUUUUUUGUAGGAAUUGCUAGCAUUUGAUUGUAUUAGCUUUGUAUACAAAAUAUAAGAAAUGAAGUAGCAUCUGAUUGUACUGUUUGGUUGUAAGAAAUUUGUUGAAAACUUGUAGGAAUUUGUAGGAAAUGGGUAAGAAUUCACGUUGCUAUGUGCAAAGGCUCACAUCUGAUUUGUAGUCUUUUUAUUCAAAA